Molecule: ribosomal RNA, 497 nt
Filed under: uncultured bacterium
Lineage: Bacteria
Description: partial 16S ribosomal RNA
Rfam family: Bacterial small subunit ribosomal RNA
Source: RNAcentral
GAUGAACGCUGGCGGCGUGCCUAAUACAUGCAAGUCGAGCGAACGGACGAGAAUCUUUCUUCUCUUAUGUUAGCGGCGGAUGGGUGAGUAACACGUGGAUAACCUACCUAUAAGACUGGGAUAACUUCGGGAAACCGGAUCUAAUACCGGUUAAUAUUUUGAACCGCAUGGUUCAAAAGUGAAAGACGUUCUUGCUGUCACUUAUAGAUGGAUCCUCGCUGCAUUAGCUAGUUGGUAAGGUAACGGCUUACCAAGGCUACGAUGCAUAGCCGACCUGAGAGGGUGAUCAGCCACACUGGAACUGAGACACGGUCCAGACUCCUACGGGAGGCAGCAGUGGGGAAUAUUCCACAAUGGGCGAAAGCCUGACGGAGCAACGCCGCGUGAGUGAUGAAGGUCUUCGGAUCGUAAAACUCUGUUAUUAGGGAAGAACAUAUGUGUAAGUAAAUGUGCACAUCUUGACGGUACCAAAACAGAAAGCAACGGCUAACUACGUG